This 222-nucleotide long non-coding RNA is filed under the name Elaeis guineensis (African oil palm). RNAcentral describes it as "long non-coding RNA (EGUI_LNC054068)". Lineage: Eukaryota; Viridiplantae; Streptophyta; Magnoliopsida; Arecales; Arecaceae. The record is from RNAcentral.
AGAUGGAAAAUCAUCACUCAAUGCAAUCUCCAAAUUCCAUCUAAUAUAGUGGUAGCUCAAUUUCAUGUUUGCAUAUUUUAUAGUUUACUCCAGAGUCUUAAUGGGAGUAUUAAUAUUACUCAAAAUACAAUGCUAACUAUUAAGCAAUCUUUAUACAGUUAAUCAACAGGCAAAUAUGUGCAAUAUUUAUGCUUGAGAAACUUUAUAAGCAACAUUUUAAUG